CCUACGGGUGGCAGCAGUGGGGAAUAUUGCACAAUGGGGGAAACCCUGAUGCAGCGACGCCGCGUGAGCGAUGAAGUAUUUCGGUAUGUAAAGCUCUAUCAGCAGGGAAGAAAAUGAAGGUACCUGACUAAGAAGCCCCGGCUAACUACGUGCCAGCAGCCGCGGUAAUACGUAGGGGGCCAGCGUUAUCCGGAUUUACUGGGUGUAAAGGGAGCGUAGGCGGCGGUGCAAGCCAGAUGUGAAAGCCCGGGGCUCAACCCCGGGACGGCAGUUGGAACUGGGCGGCUAGAGUGUCGGAGAGGCAGGCGGAAUUCCUAGUGUAGCGGUGAAAUGCGUAGAUAUUAGGAGGAACACCAGUGGCGAAGGCGGCCUGCUGGACGAUGACUGACGUUGAGGCACGAAAGCGGGGGGAGCAAACAGGAUUAGAUACCCUUGUAGUC
This 440-nucleotide ribosomal RNA is filed under the name uncultured bacterium. RNAcentral describes it as "partial 16S ribosomal RNA". It matches the Rfam family "Bacterial small subunit ribosomal RNA", at positions 338 to 795 of the family's 1533-position model. The record is from RNAcentral.